AGGAAUAUUUCCAGUUGCUUGUUAAAUCUACUCCAUGAAGGAUUAAGGCUGUUCUGACGGCAAAAGGGUUCCAACCCGGUAAGGUGUAUCUAUUAAAGUGGCCGCAGGAGGCGCUUCAGAGACACUGCUGAUCCUCCCACAGCAAAAACAGGAUGGUAAACUAAAGAUUUCAGCCCUCUCUGGCAUCUGGAUUAUAUUUGAGUGUGUGGUUUCAGUGAGUCAUGCGGAAACACUGCGCUUUCACCUCUCUCACACUCGCUGUAUGAGACACCAACUCAACAUCAUCUCUACUGUUAGCUAGACGACACACAGCACAGUGACGUUACAGUGAAUGUGAAGAUGCUCCAGUUCCUGUCGUUAGAUGUGAUCAGGUCUCAUUACACCACUGGAGCAUUGGAGAUUCUGCUCAAAUUACCUGUCAAGUCAUAAGUUGUGAAAAAUGGAAAAUAUAUUUUGACAAACA
This is a non-coding RNA of Danio rerio (zebrafish), 463 nucleotides long. The record is from RefSeq and is a predicted model, not a curated record. Lineage: Eukaryota; Metazoa; Chordata; Actinopteri; Cypriniformes; Danionidae.